AGGCCAGUGUGAGCAAUGAGAAUGUAUACUGGAUCAGACACAAGUGAUGACUGCAUGAAUCCUGAUGGACCCCGAUGUGAGAAAAUCUGCAGAAACAAAUGUGAAAAGCCCUUGCAGACACUGAAAUCCUGUCCCUGUCAAGGUACUGAAAUACAGGACUGCUCGUGUAUCUACUGGUUGAAAACCUUGAUCCUCUGGUAGUAGGAGUGUUCUAUUUCCCAAGCCUUUUUCUAUGGACCUAUAAAAGAG
Long non-coding RNA from Gymnogyps californianus (California condor), 249 nucleotides. RefSeq lists it as uncharacterized. The record is from RefSeq and is a predicted model, not a curated record. The transcript is spliced from 4 exons. Lineage: Eukaryota; Metazoa; Chordata; Aves; Accipitriformes; Cathartidae.